RNAcentral lists this unclassified non-coding RNA (343 nucleotides) under soil metagenome. Its description in RNAcentral is "partial contains 5.8S ribosomal RNA, internal transcribed spacer 2, and large subunit ribosomal RNA". The stretch from base 1 to 120 matches the Rfam family "5.8S ribosomal RNA", at positions 35 to 154 of the family's 154-position model. The record is from RNAcentral.
GAUGAAGAACGUAGCGAAAUGCGAUAAGUAAUGUGAAUUGCAGAAUUCAGUGAAUCAUCGAAUCUUUGAACGCACAUUGCGCCCGCUAGUAUUCUGGCGGGCAUGCCUGUCCGAGCGUCAUUUCAACCCUCAAGCCCCCGGGCUUGGUGUUGGGGAUCGGCGAGCCUCCGCGCCCGCCGUCCCCUAAAUCUAGUGGCGGUCUCGCUGUAGCUUCCUCUGCGUAGCAGCACACCUCGCACUGGGAAACAGCGCGGCCACGCCGUUAAACCCCCAACUUCUGAACGUUUGACCUCGGAUCAAGUAGGAAUACCCGCUGAACUUAAGCAUAUCAAUAAGCGGAGGA